AUGAUCCUGUGGCUGAACUUGGUGCCUUUCCUAGCAGUCCUGAGAGGUGUCCAAACUGAGGUCAAGCUGGUGGAGUCUGGAGGGGACAUGAGAAGACCUGGAUUCCCUCCAGCCUCCGGAUUCACCUUCAGCAACAAUGGGAUGCACGUGGAUGACACAAUGUGUAGGGAAAGGAUUCAAAUGGGGCCCUACAUGAGUACAGCCUCAUCUCCAAUUUACUACUCAGAUAAAGUCACAGGAGGGUUCACCACCUCCAGGGAUGAUUCUCGCAGCCAGCUUUAUCUGCAAAUGGACAACCUGAAAGCAGAAGACAUGGCGGUCUAUUACUGUACAAGAGACACAGUGAGAGGACGUGAAUCUGAAGCCAAGCAAGAACCUUCUCUUCCUUGA
Python bivittatus (Burmese python) is the source of this 390-nucleotide non-coding RNA. The record is from the annotation of a RefSeq genome assembly. Lineage: Eukaryota; Metazoa; Chordata; Lepidosauria; Squamata; Pythonidae.